UACGUAGGGCGCAAGCGUUGUCCGGAAUUAUUGGGCGUAAAGAGCUCGUAGGCGGCUUGUCACGUCGGAUGUGAAAGCCCGGGGCUUAACCCCGGGUCUGCAUUCGAUACGGGCAGGCUAGAGUUCGGUAGGGGAGAUCGGAAUUCCUGGUGUAGCGGUGAAAUGCGCAGAUAUCAGGAGGAACACCGGUGGCGAAGGCGGAUCUCUGGGCUGAUACUGACGCUGAGGAGCGAAAGCGUGGGGAGCGAACAGG
Molecule: ribosomal RNA, 253 nt
Filed under: uncultured bacterium
Lineage: Bacteria
Description: partial 16S ribosomal RNA
Rfam family: Bacterial small subunit ribosomal RNA
Source: RNAcentral